CACUGGGAACAAUUUUUUUAAAAGCUAAACUUUAAAUCCCCCAUUUACACAUUGACCACACUUGUAAAACGUUUGUCCACACAAUUGCAUAUUUGAGCAAUGACCUUGGCCGGGUUAAGAGUAUUUCACCCAAAUUUUACCUUCCUUUUGUGUUGGCCUGUCCUUAUGGGGUACUCGCUGGACUGUUCUAACUUCAGUAACUCCUAGGGACAUUUUGAGCUGGUUUCUUCCAAAGGGAAUUGUGACUGGUUAGAAUCUACUUCAGCUCCUGAAGAACAUGCCUUUUAAUGGGCUCGUGUGUGCCGUGGCUGCACGUGGGGCCAGGUUCCUUUGGAGAAUGGAGAGAAAUGGCUGAAAUGAAUUCCCAACUCUGGAAUGAGAGCCUGUUGCGUGUUUUAAAAAGCCGUUGGCUGAGCUCAAGGCAUAGCUGGAUGAAGCAGAGAUGUGAAAGCUCCAGUUGUCCAUAAAUAUGUUCCCAGAGUUGUAAAGACGAGGUUUUGCUUUAUUUUGAAAAAAGCUGUUUUCCUUGUGAGGUUGGAGUAGCUACAGAACCUGAGUCCAACUGGUAAACUGGUUCUGUGGUUCUGCUGUUAAUCCUCAGGAUCUGACUGACUGCAGCAAAAUCAGAAGGACACCAUCCGGGAAGAGUCGCCCAGUGAUAUUCUCAACAUGGGGCCCUCGAUGCGCCUUAGCAGCUCUCUGUCUUCACCUUGCCAACCGCCUUCCAAGAGGAAGGGAGGGGACAGAACACAUUUCCCAACUCUGGUGUCAUUGAUAACAAAGUGAAACAGACAAUACGAUGAAGUUACGUAAAUUAUAGUUAGCGUUGGGAAUGCAAGCCUUGUCAGAUGAUACUCUUCCUAUGUCAUCUGGAUUGCAAUCCUAAAGGUCAUUGCCAUUUAUAAACUGGAAAGAAAUCCACUCAAUAAAACAACUAUCACCAAUUCUAAGCAGCCUGGAUGCAGGUAAAGUUUGUCCCAAGGGUGCCUCGUACCCACUCUUCCAUAUUCAGCCUCCAAGUCUAUUGCUUUAGACUUGUCACAAAUUGUCCAGUUUUCUACUAUUGUUCCUGCUUUCAAACAAACAUUUAAAAAAAAUCCUGCCUUACAAAUAUAUGGAGCUUGCUAACUUUUCCCCUGUGAGGAGACGUGUUUUUAACAAGAUGCAGUAAAACCGUGAUAAUUAAUACACAUGCAUUGUUAAUUACAGAAAUUUAAACAUUAGCCCACUCCAGAUUUUUAAAAAUAUGUUUUUUUUAAUUGCUGGUAAGAAACUAGUGACGGCAUGCAUUAAUGAGGCCAGCUGUAGCUGAAUAAACAUCUCUUGCAGAAAGAA
Suricata suricatta (meerkat) is the source of this 1335-nucleotide long non-coding RNA. RefSeq lists it as uncharacterized. The transcript has 3 exons. The record is from RefSeq and is a predicted model, not a curated record. NCBI's taxonomy places the organism in Eukaryota, Metazoa, Chordata, Mammalia, Carnivora, Herpestidae.